AGCGUAGGCGGAUUUUUAAGUGAGAUGUGAAAUACUCGGGCUUAACCUGAGUGCUGCAUUUCAAACUGGAAGUCUAGAGUGCAGGAGAGGAGAAGGGAAUUCCUAGUGUAGCGGUGAAAUGCGUAGAGAUUAGGAAGAACACCAGUGGCGAAGGCGCUUCUCUGGACUGUAACUGACGCUGAGGCUGAAAGCGUGGGGGAGCAAACA
RNAcentral lists this ribosomal RNA (207 nucleotides) under uncultured bacterium. Its description in RNAcentral is "partial 16S ribosomal RNA". It matches the Rfam family "Bacterial small subunit ribosomal RNA", at positions 568 to 774 of the family's 1533-position model. The record is from RNAcentral.